RNAcentral lists this unclassified non-coding RNA (240 nucleotides) under Hevea brasiliensis (rubber tree). The record is from RNAcentral. Lineage: Eukaryota; Viridiplantae; Streptophyta; Magnoliopsida; Malpighiales; Euphorbiaceae.
GAAAAUUUUUGAUGGCGCAGGAUCGGAAGAGGCAGAGACCGAAUAUACUGAUUACCGGAACUCCAGGCACCGGCAAGACAACAACUUCAUCUGCUUUAGCAGACGCCGCUCAACUUCGUCAUGUCUCCAUCGGAGACCUUGUGAAGGAGAAGAGUUUGCACGAUGGCUGGGACGACGAACUCCAAUGCUAUGUCAUCAACGAAGAUUUGGUCUGCGAUGAGUUGGAGGAUUUAAUGGAAG